ACUGGAGUAGUAUUUAUUUGCAUGAGUAAAGUUAUUAUAGUGUUUAGUUAUGAAUCCAAGAGAAUGUCCGAUUAUUAAGUUUAAAGAUCAACUAGAAGAUGUGUAUGGUGAAGUGGCCAAAGAAUUUAAUUCUGAAAAGAAUAUAGUUGAAAUAUGCAAAGAAUUAGAGAAGUUAUCAAAUAGAAAUACUGCUACUAUUCUUUUAAAUCAGAUAUGUGAUUAUCUUACAAAUUACGUGGAAUGUGAACUUUUUUCUUCAAUGGACAAAAGUAGUUUAUGGAAAGACACAGCUUUUAGAAUAUAUACAAACAAUAAAAAUUUGAGAAAUUUCCAUAGCCAAGAUUAUAGUCACAUGUUAGUAUUAUCACACAUGCAAUAUAUUUCUAUUUUUGAUACAGAAGAAGAAAUUUCCUGUCCUUUUGAUCUAAUAAUUAAAUUAGAUUUGAGAAAGGUGAAAGGUCAGGAUGAUUAUUUAACACUAAUAAGAAGAGAAGUUGACAGUAAAGCUUCUUGGUUUUCAAAUGAACUGUUUGAAUGGAUGUUAGAAUAUUAUAAAUUACAAGAAAGAAAAAUUCAUUUCUUCUUUGAUCAUUUAGAUGAUAUUUCACCUGAAAAUGAAUAUUUUUCAAAUGUUAUUCAAGGUAAAAAAAAAUUCAAAUACUCUUUUGAUGCUUGGUCAAAAAAUCAAAUAAGGUUGAAUAGCGAAGAGGUUUUCGAAUUGAAAAAUGCUGAUUUAGAAAUAUUUUGUGCUAUUCCAUUUCCGAUUUUUUCUCCUUCAGAGAACAGUAUGAGUGAAACUGUAUAUAAUUUGGUACAAAAAAAUUGUUUGAUGGAGGAGAAAAGACAGCAAUUACAGACUUUAUUGUCCGAGGAUAAUGAAUUUUUUCCUAUCAUACACAUGUAUCAUGUAGAAGAAUAUUAUGAAUCAGAAUUAAGAGAGAAUAUUUCUCAUAUCUACAAAUUCUAUUUUGGAAAAUGGCUGAUGUAUUUUGAGUACUUUAAAAAGAGUAACCAUUCUAACUAUUACAGAUGUCAAUUUGGUAGUCAAUUUCCUGGCCUGAAGGAAUUAGAUACAGUAAUAUUUUUGAAACUAAAUUUUAAUAAAAUUGAGAAGAAUGAAACCUAUUUAAAAACUUUAGAGAAACAAAUUUUCAAUGAAUACACAGAAGAGAUGAUUUCUAAAUUUUUUACAUUUUGCAAAGAAAAUAACUAUACAAUAACUUUUCUGAUUACAAAAUAUGAUCCUAAUGGAACAGUUCCAAGUGCAUUCCGUGAAAUAUUGAAUGGAGAAACUGAAAAUUUUCCUCAUUCAAUUUUAAUCAAUAAUAAUUCCGAAGAAAUGGAUGGAUUUCGUCUGUUAGGCCCACAUACACUUCAUAAAUGGAAGCUGCCAAGAAAAAAGCAAACCAGUAAUAUUGAAUCUGCAUUACUAGGAGAAAAGAUAGAAUUUAAGUUUGUCCAAUUUUUUAUUAAAUGGUCUGUGAAAUUUCAAGAUAUUCUGAAGAAGGAGAAACUGCAAAGUGAAAGCAAAUAUUGGACAAAGUAUUCUCCAAAUUUUACUAAUCUACAUAUAGUUUAUGAUGAACAUCUGGGUAUAAGAUGCAAGUUAUUGGAAGAAAUUGGACCUGUUUAUACUGAAGAGGUUUUGGAACAAAUUUCCGAAAUUUUUCUAAAUCGUAAUCAAACCAUUGUGAAAGAUUCAAUUCAACAUGUUUGCAAUGAAAUUUUACAAAACAUUUCAAAUUUUCUUUUGAAUAAAAAGUUAAUUAGGAAACAUGAAAACAUAGAUUUUGACAAAGCUUACAAACCAUUAAAGAUUACAGAUACGCACAAUAAAGAAGUAUCUCUAUCUUUUGUAAAUUUGAAAAAAAGUUUCAAAAUGUUGAUAAAAGGAGAGGGAGGAAGUGGAAAAUCAUUUCUAUGUUUACAGAUAAUGAAAAAACCUGAACAUUUUCAAAUUGAGAAUAUAGAUUUGAUUAUCAGAAUUGACUUGAGUAAAGUUAAGGAAAAUGAAUCAUACUACACUUCUCUAUAUAAUCAAUGGAAAAAUGAUCUCUGGCAGUCUAUCUACUGUGUCCAAUGGUUCCUGCAGUAUUUUGGAAAGAAAGGCAAAAGGAUUUUAUUUCUUUUGGAUGAAUUUGAUAAAAUGAAUAAUGAACAGAAUGACUUCUAUAAAAUAAUUACUGGCCAACCUAUUCAUUUUCCACAUUCAGUUGUAAUAUUCUCAAGAAAUUUUUCAGCUGAAAAUGUAAAAUCAGACUAUGAAAGAGAAGUGAUUGGCUUUUCAUCAACAUACGAAUAUUUUCAACAGUUACGUGAAAAAAAUCAAUAUCUUAAUUCAAUGACAAGUACUACAAAUAUACUAAAAGUUUGUAGCAAUCCACUGGCAGCUUUUAUAACAACAUUUUUAUUGAAGAGGAGCCACAUGAAGAAAAAAAACUGUUCAAAAACAAUUGCAAAAGCUACAUUGGACUAUUUAGUUUUUAAGACACCUGAUUAUAUCCCACUUUAUGAGAGUGACUCUAAGACUUUGAUAAAUCGUGUUCCACAUUUCAAAUUCCCUAAAACACAGUUGGAUUCUUAUAAAUAUUUUCUAUCAAAUGAGAAUGUACUAAUAAUACCUUUCACUGGAAAAGACAGAAAUUUUAAAGAUAAUUUUCAAUUUAAAAUGGAGUGUGGAAAGACCAUCUAUGACACCAGAGGAAAGAUUAUCAAAGUUAUAAUACUGAACAUAAAAACUUAUGAAACUAAGAAGAAUAGGCGACAAGAAAGCAAGAUUGAUGUUAAAAAUUUACAAAAAUUGUUUAGAGAACUGACAAAAUCAUCUCGUAAAAAACUUGUUUAACAUUGAAUCUAUAAAUAAAUUCAACAUAACAAUUCAUAAUCAAAUUGUUAAACAAGCUUUUGAGACGAAAUAUUCCACUGAACAUUGGGAUGACCUUGACAUUGAUACGUUUCAAGCACUUUUGAAAAAACUAAAAAAAAAAUUGAAAAAGUUUGGAGGAUUAAUAUUCUUUACAAUGGCACAUGGAGAUGAAAAUGGGUUUUAUUUAAAACCUAAUCAAAAGAAAAGGAGAGAAUCAAAUGAUUUUUUUGCCUAUGCUGAUUUAAUUAAUAAGUUUAGUUCUUCCAACUGUACAGAGCUGGACUUAAAACCGAAAAUAUUUUUUUUCAAUACUUGUCUAGGAGGUAAUGAGUAUGGUACCAGUUUCUAUUUAAAUACUGUUCAAAAACGUUUUUGCAGGUUAUGUUUUCCAUAAAAAAGAAACAAAAGAAUGUGAAGCUGUUUUCAAAGAGUUUGAACAUGAAAAUGAAUUGAGAACUAAUAGACAGUCUGGGAAAAUAUGCAAAAAAAGAUACAUUUCUGAACACGCAAUUCCUGGCGGAGAUACCUUACAAAUCUAUUCAACAAUUCAAGGAUAUGCAGGUCUAUCUGGUGAAAGGUCUGGAAGCAGAUUUAUCAGAGCCUUUAUAUGUGCAAUGGAAAAAAGAGCCCACACAUCAUCACUGUUUACAAUCAUUGAUCAUGUAUUCUAUAUAAUGAGUCAUUGUCACUAUGCGUCGCUAAGUCAGAUUCCCUCAUUCUCUGGGUCUGCUAAAGGAUUUUAUUUUAUGUGAAAUUUGAUUGAAAGAAGUAAAAAUGCCAUAUUUAGUCUAGCUAAUCAAGAAAAAAAGAAACAAUGUACAAUUUUCAGACAGGAGGUUGACAAACCAUCAUUCAAAAGUAAGAGUUGAUUGAAACUCAGCUUCAUCUGUGAUCUUAGAUUUUCCAUACUCAAACUAUGUAAAAUGCUACAAUUAUACUUUUAAAUUUGCUGAACAAUGGAUUAAUAUUAUAAUUUCAAUAAUGUAUGAUACUACCACAAGCCAGCAUGUUGAUUUUUAAACUAUUCAAGUUUAUUUAUCAGAUACGACUGAUGUUUUGAGUUUGUUAUAAAGAUUAAAUUCCUUUCCCUAUUUUCACAAAUGUCUCUCUGCAGAGUUCAUCAGGUAGAAAGUUAUUAAUAAUUUUUUUCCAACUAUUCAAUUUCAUUUAUGAAAUAUAUUGACUUAGUUGAAAAAUUGAAGAUAGUACUUUAAAUCGAAUAUUGUACUUCAAUAAUCCACAAGAAAGCAUAGUUAUAUUUAUCUCUAUUAAAUCUUGCAAAAAGCACUUGGUUCAAAUUAAUUAAAGAAAUAUAACUCUAUCUAAUCAAGAGAACAGUUUAUACAUUUAUGGCCAAACAAUUCAUUCAAAACUUCAAUAAUAGAAUUAUUACAUAUUCACACUCAACCCCUUGACAGAUAGAUCUAUUGGUUCUAUUCAGAAAAAAGUUUCAGCAAAUUUCCAAUUUGCGUAUUUUGAGGUUUAAUUAAAUUACACCUUUUUAAAUUAAGAUUCUUAAAAGUAUUUGAUGACAUUCGAAGUCCUUCACAAAUAUUUAUUAUUCCUUUACCCAUCUGUCUAUUCCACAAAAGAUACAUUGUUUCUAUUUUGCAACAAUGUUUUAACAAAUUUCCAACCUGUAUACUUUGAUCUUCAUUUAAAAUACAUCCAUUUAAAUGAAGACUCUUUAAAGUAUUUGAUGACAUUUGAAGUCCUUCACAAAUAUU
This 4593-nucleotide unclassified non-coding RNA is filed under the name Dimorphilus gyrociliatus. RNAcentral's name for it is "cASPASE_P20 domain-containing protein". Lineage: Eukaryota; Metazoa; Annelida; Polychaeta; Dinophilidae. The record is from RNAcentral.